This 468-nucleotide ribosomal RNA is filed under the name uncultured bacterium. RNAcentral's name for it is "partial 16S ribosomal RNA". It matches the Rfam family "Bacterial small subunit ribosomal RNA", at positions 28 to 507 of the family's 1533-position model. The record is from RNAcentral.
GACGAACGCUGGCGGCGUGCUUAACACAUGCAAGUCGAACGGAAAGGCCCUGCUUUUGUGGGGUGCUCGAGUGGCGAACGGGUGAGUAACACGUGAGUAACCUGCCCUUGACUUUGGGAUAACUUCAGGAAACUGGGGCUAAUACCGGAUAGUAGCUCCUGCUGCAUGGUGGGGGUUGGAAAGUUUCGGCGGUUGGGGAUGGACUCGCGGCUUAUCAGCUUGUUGGUGGGGUAGUGGCUUACCACGGCUUUGACGGGUAGCCGGCCUGAGAGGGUGACCGGCCACAUUGGGACAGAGAUACGGCCCGGACUCCUACGGGAGGCAGCAGUGGGGAAUAUUGCACGAUGGACGGAAGCCUGAUGCAGCAACGCCGCGUGCGGGAUGGCGGCCUUCGGGUUGUAGGCCGCUUUCACCUGUGACGAAGCGUGAGUGACGGUAAUGGGUAAAGAAGCACCGGCUAACUACGUG